RNAcentral lists this ribosomal RNA (698 nucleotides) under Bacillus sp. (in: firmicutes). RNAcentral describes it as "bacterial SSU rRNA". It matches the Rfam family "Bacterial small subunit ribosomal RNA", at positions 69 to 750 of the family's 1533-position model. Lineage: Bacteria; Bacillati; Bacillota; Bacilli; Caryophanales; Bacillaceae. The record is from RNAcentral.
GGAUUAAGAGCUUGCUCUUAUGAAGUUAGCGGCGGACGGGUGAGUAACACGUGGGUAACCUGCCCAUAAGACUGGGAUAACUCCGGGAAACCGGGGCUAAUACCGGAUAACAUUUUGAACCGCAUGGUUCGAAAUUGAAAGGCGGCUUCGGCUGUCACUUAUGGAUGGACCCGCGUCGCAUUAGCUAGUUGGUGAGGUAACGGCUCACCAAGGCAACGAUGCGUAGCCGACCUGAGAGGGUGAUCGGCCACACUGGGACUGAGACACGGCCCAGACUCCUACGGGAGGCAGCAGUAGGGAAUCUUCCGCAAUGGACGAAAGUCUGACGGAGCAACGCCGCGUGAGUGAUGAAGGCUUUCGGGUCGUAAAACUCUGUUGUUAGGGAAGAACAAGUGCUAGUUGAAUAAGCUGGCACCUUGACGGUACCUAACCAGAAAGCCACGGCUAACUACGUGCCAGCAGCCGCGGUAAUACGUAGGUGGCAAGCGUUAUCCGGAAUUAUUGGGCGUAAAGCGCGCGCAGGUGGUUUCUUAAGUCUGAUGUGAAAGCCCACGGCUCAACCGUGGAGGGUCAUUGGAAACUGGGAGACUUGAGUGCAGAAGAGGAAAGUGGAAUUCCAUGUGUAGCGGUGAAAUGCGUAGAGAUAUGGAGGAACACCAGUGGCGAAAGCGACUUUCUGGUCUGUAACUGACACUGAG